Long non-coding RNA from Juglans microcarpa x Juglans regia, 266 nucleotides. RefSeq lists it as uncharacterized. The record is from RefSeq and is a predicted model, not a curated record. NCBI's taxonomy places the organism in Eukaryota, Viridiplantae, Streptophyta, Magnoliopsida, Fagales, Juglandaceae. The transcript is spliced from 2 exons.
AAUGAUUUUUCUUCACUGAAGACCUUUUUUUUCGGAGGGCCAGUCGCAUAAUGGACAACGUUUUACAGAUGGGUACGGUCUGAUUACUGAAUCCAAAGUCCAAAAAACAAAAUAAACUAAUGAAAAUGGAAUCCAUCACACACAGAGAGAGAGAGAGACCGUGGCUGCUGGCAAGAGGUGCUGCGAUGGCGCGACGGAGCGGACGAUUAUCAAAGGCUGGGCUGCUGGAAGGCAGAGAAAUUAGGGUAGGAAAAGUUCUCCAAAAC